CCUACGGGGGGCAGCAGUGAGGAAUAUUGGUCAAUGGGCGAGAGCCUGAACCAGCCAAGUCGCGUGAGGGAAGACGGUCCUAUGGAUUGUAAACCUCUUUUGCCGGGGAGCAAAAGGCGGUACGUGUACCGCAUCGAGAGUACCCGGAGAAAAAGCAUCGGCUAACACCGUGCCAGCAGCCGCGGUAAUACGGAGGAUGCGAGCGUUAUCCGGAAUUAUUGGGUUUAAAGGGUGCGCAGUCGGCGAGUUAAGUCAGCGGUAAAAUUUCGGGGCUCAAACCCGUCAAGCCGUUGAAACUGGCUAGCUAGAGUAGGCGAGAGGUAUGCGGAACGAGAGGUGUAGCGGUGAAAUGCAUAGAUAU
Molecule: ribosomal RNA, 361 nt
Filed under: uncultured bacterium
Lineage: Bacteria
Description: partial 16S ribosomal RNA
Rfam family: Bacterial small subunit ribosomal RNA
Source: RNAcentral